Molecule: ribosomal RNA, 434 nt
Filed under: uncultured Lachnospiraceae bacterium
Lineage: Bacteria; Bacillati; Bacillota; Clostridia; Lachnospirales; Lachnospiraceae
Description: partial 16S ribosomal RNA
Rfam family: Bacterial small subunit ribosomal RNA
Source: RNAcentral
ACGGGAGGCAGCAGUGGGGAGUAUUGCACAAUGGGGGAAACCCUGAUGCAGCGACGCCGCGUGAGUGAAGAAGUAUUUCGGUAUGUAAAGCUCUAUCAGCAGGAAAGAAAAUGACGGUACCUGACUAAGAAGCCCCGGCUAACUACGUGCCAGCAGCCGCGGUAAUACGUAGGGGGCAAGCGUUAUCCGGAUUUACUGGGUGUAAAGGGAGCGUAGACGGCUUUGCAAGUCUGAAGUGAAAGCCCGGGGCUCAACCCCGGAACUGCUUUGGAAACUGUAGAGCUAGAGUGCAGGAGAGGUAAGUGGGAUUCCUAGUGUAGCGGUGAAAUGCGUAGAUAUUAGGAGGAACACCAGUGGCGAAGGCGGCUUACCGGACUGUAACUGACGUUGAGGCUCGAAGGCGUGGGGAGCAAACAGGAUUAGAUACCCUGGUA